Molecule: ribosomal RNA, 239 nt
Filed under: uncultured bacterium
Lineage: Bacteria
Description: partial 16S ribosomal RNA
Rfam family: Bacterial small subunit ribosomal RNA
Source: RNAcentral
GAUCAUGGCUCAGGAUGAACGCUAGCUACAGGCUUAACACAUGCAAGUCGAGGGGCAGCAUGAACUUAGCUUGCUAAGUUUGAUGGCGACCGGCGCACGGGUGAGUAACACGUAUCCAACCUUCCGUUUACUCAGGGGUAGCCUUUCGAAAGAAAGAUUAAUACCUGAUAGUAUGGUGAGAUUGCAUGAUAGCACCAUUAAAGAUUUAUUGGUAAACGAUGGGGAUGCGUUCCAUUAGG